Rhineura floridana is the source of this 3829-nucleotide long non-coding RNA. RefSeq lists it as uncharacterized. NCBI's taxonomy places the organism in Eukaryota, Metazoa, Chordata, Lepidosauria, Squamata, Rhineuridae. The transcript has 6 exons. The record is from RefSeq and is a predicted model, not a curated record.
AAUUGGGUGGCGGGUGCGAGGCGGGCUCUGCUAGCAGUUAAGGCUGCCGCCGGCCCGACAACAGAAGCUAGCUGAGGCGGAGAAAUGACGGCGCUUGGCGAAGGUGGCCCCGCUUCGCCUCACAGAGGGUUGGUAAAGGGUGGCGGGUCAAGAGAUAGUCACCCCGGUUUUGCGCUGUAAGACGGUCAAUCCUUAUCCACGGGAGUCGGCUCCACUGGACACAGUGGGUCUUAACAUCGGAAUAACCAUGCAAGAGAGGUAACCAAAAGCGUUGUUGCUGUUGUUAUGUGCCUCCAAGUCGAUGACAACUUAUGGCGACCCUAUGAAUCAGCGACCUCCAAGAGCAUCUGUCAUGAACCACCCUGUUCAGAUCUUGUGUGGCUAACUGAAGCACUUUGAUGUGACGACGAGUGUAUGUUUACAGCCUCUGGUUGAACAGUCUUACUGGGAGCAGUUUGCGAGGGUGCCCAUUACAGUCACCACUCCCAAGUACUUAAAAAUAUUGAUUUAACCCUUGUACUUCUCACACCAUCCAGGUUGUAUGGUGGUUUAUAACAUAUGCUUGACUUGAAGGCACAUAACAACAACAAACAGAUACCCUUUUCUCUCAAGAUGAAGAAUUGUCAAUACCCACUCUCAUGGUCACUUCCGGCACUUAAUGCCCUCAAUGUGGAAAGGAACUUAAAGCAAAAGAAGGGGGAAACAUAUACCAUUGUUGUUCCGUCACCUGCAGCAGCUGCCCACCAUUUUCCACUGGCUUUGUGGGAGAGAAAAGGAGCUGCAAGACCCUGUUUCUGUACAGAGCAGUGUUUCCCUGUCAGAUGUCAGGAGAUGGAGAGAGGAACACGUGGGCCUUGAAGUUCUCUAGGCAGGCAGCUGGUUUAUUGGGGCUACUGGGGCACAGCCCUCCCAAUGAGAAUGUCAAGCAAUUUAACACACACAAACCCCAAAAAAUCUCAAAGCCGUGCACUCUUUCUUGUUCUACACACUUUUGUUUCAUCUGUUAAAUAUUCAAUGUGUUAUCAAGGGACUUGUGUUAUUGUUUGCUACAGAAUAGCACAGCUACUCCUCAGGAUUUUGCCACAAAUAGAGUCCAAAAAAAGUCUGCUUAAAACGCUCCAGACCUAUGACAUGUAAUGAAUAAUAGCUGCAGUUACAACUACAAUAAUAAAGUAACUUAAUGGCUAGGUAACACAGUGUUCAGAAAUUAUAGUCAUCAAUAAAUAUUAGAAGUGUUGCGUAGUAGUUAUUCCUUGGGGUUGUAAUAUAACUUUCCCUGUUCAGUGGAGCUUACUGUCAUGUAAAUGCAUAGGAUUGUAGCUUUAUUUUAUUUCCUUUAUAUCUCACAUUUCCUGCAAAGAGCUCAAAGUGGCAUACAUGGUCCUGCUCCUCUUCAUUUUAUCCUCAGAGGUAGUUUUAGCUGAGAAAAGAUAACUAGCCCAGAGUCUUUCAGUGAGCUUCAUGUUUAAGUGAGGAUUUGAACCCAGGUUUCCCAGGCCCUAGCCCAACAAUCUUGUCAUUGCACCACACUGGCUUUGGCAGAAACUGCACACUGCAGUACGUCUGGAAAUCACAAUAUCACAUAAAUUACCCCACUAUACUUUUCUUUCUUUGUCUUUUGAAACUGAUUGAAAUUGAUAGUAAUGUAAAUACUGUUACUGUUACAUUUCCUCCUAAAGGCCAAGAGAGAGAAAUAUAGGCAGUGCUCUUCCAAUAACUGAUGGCAUACGUCAGCAAUGACACAUGAGGGGGCAGAGUGGCAGUGGUGCUGAGGUGAGGGGUAGCACGGUUUGGGGUAUUUGGGGGGGUGAUAGCAGCAGCCCGCCUGCUGCAGGAUGGUGAUGCCACCAACCCUGAACUUGCAUGUGCCUUGCCCCAUCCCCAGUCAGUGAAUGGCACUACUGCCACUACCAGGAGAGCACUUCAGUUGGCGUAGUCUUGGGGUAACCACAGUUAAAAUACUAGUUCGUUCUACAUAUGUUCUCAUUUGCUUUACAGUACAAUCUUUAAGCAUUUCUACUUGUAUGUUAGUCCGAUGGAGUACAAUGUAAACAUGUCUAGGUUUGCAACCUUAGUGUAGGAUUUAUUAGCAGGUCCAAAAUGGGAAAAUCUUAAUAAAUGUUCCUGUUGUGUUUAAUGUGUAUGCUUAAAUAGUCACUAAACCGAGGGAAGUCAUACUUCAGGGUUGUGAGUCUGUGAUCUACCUUUUAAUAGUACCCCAAGAGUCACCAACUACAGCCAGGUGCAAGAGACACCUAUUUAAUAUGAAACAACAAGGUGUCUCUGAGGCAUUGCUGAACACAGGAGUUGCUUUUUAGUAUCAGAACUGAAAUGAACUCAGUCUUUCUACACAUAAAUCCAUUCCUAAUUUCCACAGCUCUCUGAAUUUCAGUCAUGUUGUUGCUAUUGUUAAACAACUAGAAGUCAGAAACUCACGCCAGUCAAUUACAAAUCUCCCAGGGAUCUACCAAUAGAUUUCAUUUACCUUCUGGCCACUGCUGCACUUAACAAUUUGUAUGUGCACUGGCCUACCUUACAAGGUUGUUGUAGCAUGGUUUGAAAGAAUGCUUGCAAGAAUGAAGUUACAACAGCAGAGGCAAGAGUCUUGCAAACAUUGCCAAAGAGGACAUUCUCAAAGGAGCAAUAUCACCUUUCUAUCCAGUAAUUGAGAAAAAAACUAUUGUGGAUUUGCUCAUCUCUUUGCAUCUCUCCCCAGAUGCUAGAAGCCGCAAGAGGGGAGAGUGCUCUUGUGCUCAGGUCCUGCUUGCGGGUUUCCCAUGGGCAGGGAGAACAGGAUGCUUUACCAGAUUCAGCAGGCUCUUAUGUUCUUUGGGACCAAGUGUCAAGCAUCAAAACUAGACACACUGGAUGGUCAAACACAAGAUAAUGACUGCUUCCAUUAGGAUCUGCUGCCUGAAGCAGCUGCAUCAUAUAAAGCUUAUGUAAAGCAUGUCAUUUUACCACAUGUCAUUUUGACACAACAAACCUGCCUUGAAGGGUUGCUAGACUGGGAUAGGUAGACUUUAGGUUUUUGGUAUCAAUUUUUUUAUUUUACAAAAAUUCAGGAUCCACUAACUAGAGCCAGCCACAAAAUACAUGCACUUAAAAUUAAAUAAUUCUUAGCCCAGGAAUUUGUUUUGAGUACAAGGAUUGAACUGAGCUCAUAAUCCUUUCACACAAAAUUCUAGUCAUAGUUACCAACCCUGAGCUGCUUUUCAGCAGUAUAAUAUGGGGUGUGUGCAUAAUUUUGUUGUUGCCAUUGUUAAACAACUGGGAGUCAGAAAUCCUCACUGAUUUUCUGAAAGUCACCCAGAGAUCUACUACUACAUUAUCUUGAUAUACUUUCUACCCACCUGCAUCUAAAGUGCUAAACGUUACGACAUAGAUAAUAAAAAGAGGUGACAUUGAUAACUUUUACAUUGUGAGCUGCAAACAUUUUCACUGAAAAAACCAUAGCCCAGAGCUUUCCUGAGUGUUCUCCAAACACCAGGAAGGCUUUCCAGAGGCACAGUAUGUUGCAGUGGGAGGAGCAACCGGGAACACCUGGUUGCAUAAGCAGCCUUCCCCACAUGUAUCUUUUGAGUGCAGUUCUGUGUAUUAAAAUACAUGAUAUCCUCAAGAAGGAAUCAGGUGGACCAUUUUAAGCAGCUUUUUGUUGUUACAGCCCCCUCCUCAAAAUAUUUUCAUAUAUAAGCAUUCAAUACAUUUAAGGCUACCGUUAUACAGAUGCAUCUAGAAGUAAGUUCCAUUGAACUCUAUAGGACUUGCAUCUGAGUAGACAUAUAUAGGAUUGUACUGUAAAUGCUUGUAUCAAAUAAAGCCAUACAUG